Small nucleolar RNA from Ornithorhynchus anatinus (platypus), 138 nucleotides. The record is from RefSeq and is a predicted model, not a curated record. Lineage: Eukaryota; Metazoa; Chordata; Mammalia; Monotremata; Ornithorhynchidae.
UGCCUCUCAGGGUCACACCUGGAGAGUUUCCAGUCCUCUACCAGUCUCGACUAAAGGAGGGAGAGUCAAGUUGAGGCUUAUUCAUUCUAUUCCUAGCUUGGGCAGUGGCUAGCGAGUGGAAGGCAAUCUGCUACAAGU